This 456-nucleotide long non-coding RNA is filed under the name Sorghum bicolor (sorghum). RNAcentral's name for it is "long non-coding RNA (SBIC_LNC009071)". The record is from RNAcentral. Lineage: Eukaryota; Viridiplantae; Streptophyta; Magnoliopsida; Poales; Poaceae.
GUUUCUUUGAGAGUUUGUUUCCAUCGUUGUUCGAGUACUUUUGGGUGUGGCUAAGACUUCACGUGUGAUAUCUUGCUACUGGUUGGCACGUGUAUCUCACGUCUUUGGUGAGUGUUUGUUUUGGGUUGUUUGUGAGCUAAGGACUAAAAGUUUUGAAAAGAAUUUUUGAGGCUCCCAUUCACCCCCCUCUGGUCGCCAUUUCUGGUCCUUCAAUACUUUCAGAGAAAGAGGUGUAUUUGGAGCAAGUUGUCUCCCCAUGUUUGACAUAUAGAGACAACAUAACAUUGUUUUCUAAUAGAAUGUAGACUUCAAGUCAAAAUAAUUUAUGUGUAAUGAAACCAUCAAGUUACUAGAGAUAGAUUUCAAACUUCAAAAGGUUUAAGAAGUUCUUCAAUUUUCUGUUAGACUUGUGUGUAGACAUGGGUAAAUCAGAUAAUAUAAUUGAAUGUGGGCAAG